Molecule: ribosomal RNA, 253 nt
Filed under: uncultured bacterium
Lineage: Bacteria
Description: partial 16S ribosomal RNA
Rfam family: Bacterial small subunit ribosomal RNA
Source: RNAcentral
UACGUAGGGGGCAAGCGUUGUCCGGAAUCAUUGGGCGUAAAGAGCGUGUAGGCGGCUCGGUAAGUCCGCUGUGAAAGUCCAGGGCUCAACCCUGGAAUGCCAGUGGAUACUGUCAAGCUAGAGUCCGGAAGAGGCGAGUGGAAUUCCCGGUGUAGCGGUGAAAUGCGCAGAUAUCAGGAGGAACACCAAUGGCGAAGGCAGCUCGCUGGGACGGUACUGACGCUGAGACGCGAAAGCGUGGGGAGCAAACAGG